UACAGAGGUGGCAAGCGUUGUUCGGAAUUACUGGGCGUAAAGGGCGCGUAGGCGGCUGCUCAAGUCAGGCGUGAAAGGCCUGGGCUCAACCCGGGAAUUGCGCUUGAGACUGGGCUGGCUUGAGUGCGGGAGAGGAUGGUGGAAUUCCCAGUGUAGAGGUGAAAUUCGUAGAUAUUGGGAAGAACACCGGUGGCGAAGGCGGCCAUCUGGACCGCAACUGACGCUGAGGCGCGAAAGCGUGGGGAGCAAACAGG
Molecule: ribosomal RNA, 254 nt
Filed under: uncultured bacterium
Lineage: Bacteria
Description: partial 16S ribosomal RNA
Rfam family: Bacterial small subunit ribosomal RNA
Source: RNAcentral